ACAGGCGAGAACCCACCGCGGCACCUCGGCGACGGAACAGACGGAUGAAAGGUUAAAUGAAGUCUCGCGGAAGAGACUUAAGCCGGAGUGCCCACCUUUGGUGUAGAAUCCUUCUAAGAAACUGGAGGCGGCAAGCUUUGCCCUGUGGACACGAGGCCGCCAUACCGCCAGCUGACGAUCGUUCACUAGACGUUCACAACUAAGACGCGCUGUUAGGAGGAUCUUCUGGCCUCGCAGACGCCAGCGGCCCCUGGUCCCCUGCCUCUGGCGCUGCCUGCCGCCAGGACGGGCUGAUACCGAGCUGCACUCGGGGUCCUUUCUCCUCCCGCUCAGCCUGUGGUAGGCGGUCAGCUCCGCUGCACGGACAGAGAAGCACCUCGGUCCCCAUGGGUCCCCCUGGUCGCGCCGUGGCGCCCUGGGGUGUAAGGAGCUCCGAGCCACCCGCCUCAAGCACCCGCCUGCCGGGAGACCAGUCCCCGUACUGCAGGGAACUGGGGGGGACCCCAGGCCU
Long non-coding RNA from Hyaena hyaena (striped hyena), 511 nucleotides. RefSeq lists it as uncharacterized. The transcript has 3 exons. The record is from RefSeq and is a predicted model, not a curated record. NCBI's taxonomy places the organism in Eukaryota, Metazoa, Chordata, Mammalia, Carnivora, Hyaenidae.